This 433-nucleotide ribosomal RNA is filed under the name uncultured bacterium. RNAcentral's name for it is "partial 16S ribosomal RNA". It matches the Rfam family "Bacterial small subunit ribosomal RNA", at positions 29 to 507 of the family's 1533-position model. The record is from RNAcentral.
AACGAACGCUGGCGGCAUGCCUAACACAUGCAAGUCGAACGAAACCUCCGGGUCUUUUGGCGCACGGGUGCGUCACGCGUCGGAACCUUCCCUUAGGGUUGGAAUAACUCCCCGAAAGGGGUGCCAAUACCGGACAAUGUCUUCUGACCAAUGAUUUAUCGCCCUUGGUUGGGCCCGAGUUGGAUUCGCUAGUUGGUAGGGUAAUAGCCUACUAAGGCGACGAUCCAUAGCUGGUCUGAGAGGAUGAUCAGCGACACUGAGACUAAGACACGGCCGGGACUCCUACGGGAGGCAGCAGUGGGGAAUAGUGGACAGUCGCCGGAGGCCUGAACGAGCAAUGCCGCGUAAGUUAUGUAGGCCGGAAGGUUGAAAUGCUCUUUUAACCGGGAUGAUAAUGACAGUACCGGAAGAAUAAGCUACGGCUAACUCCGUG